RNAcentral lists this transfer RNA (69 nucleotides) under Capsala pricei. Its description in RNAcentral is "tRNA-Tyr". It matches the Rfam family "tRNA". Rfam says of the family: Transfer RNA (tRNA) molecules are approximately 80 nucleotides in length. Their secondary structure includes four short double-helical elements and three loops (D, anti-codon, and T loops). Further hydrogen bonds mediate the characteristic L-shaped molecular structure. tRNAs have two regions of fundamental functional importance: the anti-codon, which is responsible for specific mRNA codon recognition, and the 3' end, to which the tRNAs corresponding amino acid is attached (by aminoacyl-tRNA synthetases). tRNAs cope with the degeneracy of the genetic code in two manners: having more than one tRNA (with a specific anti-codon) for a particular amino acid; and 'wobble' base-pairing, i.e. permitting non-standard base-pairing at the 3rd anti-codon position. The record is from RNAcentral. Lineage: Eukaryota; Metazoa; Platyhelminthes; Monogenea; Capsalidea; Capsalidae.
GCUAGCUUAGCAUAAAUUUACAAUGCGAAAGACUGUAAAUCUUUUUAUAAUGAUUAUCAUUAGCUAGAA